AACAGUGACCUUGCCAUCAGAAAGAACCUCAUCAGGAAGGACUUUGAGCUCUUAAUUAACCCACCCCUUGGAGAGGCUCUACUUGGACCCACCAAAUUCCAAUCUGUAGGAAAAAAGGUACAGCUAAUUUUCAGGCCACUUCCAAAUACUACAUGAGCUAGUUUGGUGUCUAAUGUAACAAUUGUUUUAGUGGCUCCACAGUUAGACUUGUUGGACACUAAGGAAGCCAUCUAUCAGAGAGUGGGGGCAAAAGCUGACUUGGCAGAAGCUGUCUGAUACUGUGGGUCAUCCUGACCUUGAGACUGCGCAAUGUGCCCUGGCAGAUUCAGAGUGUGUCCUGCUAGAACCCAUGUGCUGGACUCACAUUUCCAGAGAGAAUGAGUGAAAAUUAGCAAGUAAGAUGACUACAUUCAUUGCCUGAAUGCUAGAGAGUGCCGCAUGCCCCCAGAUUAGAUUUGUGGCAUGAAGGCUUUGAUCUCUGCUUCCUACAUGUGUCUGCGAGGAUUGGUACUAUGAGUGUGCAUGCAGCAUGCAUUCAUUACUGCAUCUGAU
This 552-nucleotide long non-coding RNA is filed under the name Pongo abelii (Sumatran orangutan). RNAcentral describes it as "lincRNA". Lineage: Eukaryota; Metazoa; Chordata; Mammalia; Primates; Hominidae. The record is from RNAcentral.